AAAAAAAAACUAUUUUAAGUUAUUGUUAUUUAAUCAAUCUUUUAUUUUAUUUUAAUUUAUCUUUUUGAGAAUGUGGUAUAUCUGAUUGUGGUUUUACGGAUAAAGCGAGAAUGACGGUGUUGCUUGCUGAUUGGACACAAAAAUACCACUUCGACUGUUUUCCUGUAAUGCCAAAGUUGACUUCAAUACGCAAAUUUUCUCAGCUCACAGCAACAUCUCAAGUUUGACCCAUUUGUCCUCAAGCUGGAUGUGUGUGGCAUGUUUUGGGUAAUUUAAAUUAAUUUUCAUAAUAAUUAUUUAUUGCUACGGUAAAUUAUUCUCUCCACUCUAGCUAGAGACACGUGGUGGUACAUCCUUCUUCAUUAUGGCAAUGAUCAUUCAUACAAAAACAAAUUCAUAAUUAAUUUAAAGAAUCGAAUAGAAAUUAUUGUAAGAAACGAACAUAGAAAUUACUCAUUGAUAGUCCUUGUUUGUGAUGACGAAUCUGUUUGAUCCAACCUCCACUUCAGCGCACAUAAACGAACGUUGUGGUUCGAAUUCAUUGUACCGAAUCAACCUAACACCGAAAAGAUCUUCAUAGAAUUGAAUCACUCAUAUACCACUGGUUGGGCCCACAACCAGUUGUGGGGUCAGGUCUGUGAUGGUUACCGAAAAAGAAGGAUAACGAAGAGGAACAAAAACACUAGGAGGAGGAGAAGUAAAAGGCGAGUAUGAAAAGCCACAAGAAUGUUGAGGUUGAGCAUGAGGCUUUAGUAAGCAUCACAUACUUGACCCCACAACUGGUUGUGGGCCCAACUAAUGGUAUAUAGGUGAUUCAAUUAUAUGAAGAUCUUUUCGAUGCUAGGUUGAUUCGGUACAAUGAAUUCGAGCCACAAUGUUUGUUUGUAUGCACUGAAGUGGAGGUUGGAUCAAACAGAUUCGUCAUCACAAACAAGGACUAUCAAUAAGUAAUUUCUAUGUUCGUUUCUUACAAUAAUUUAUAUUCGGUUUUUUAAAUUAAUUAUGAAUUUGUUUUUGUAUGGAUGAUCACUGCCAGAAUGAAGAAGGAUGUACUGCCACGUGUCUCCGGUUAGAGUGGAGAGAAUAAUUUAUUGUAGCAAUAAAUAAUUAUCAUGAAAAUUAAUUUAAAUUACCCAAAACAUGCCACACACAUCCAGAUUGAGGACAAAAGGGUCAAACUCAAGAUGUUGCUGCGAGCUGAGAAAAUUCGCGUAUUGAAGUCACCUUUGGCAUUCCAGGAAAACAGUCAAAGUGGUGUUUUUGUGUCCAAUCAGCAAGUAACACCGUCAUUCUCGCCUUAUCUGUAAAACCACAAUCGGAUAUACCACAUUCUCAAAAAGAUAAAUUAAAAUAAAAGACUGAUUAAAUAACAAGAACUUUAAAAAGUUUUUUUUUUCUAUUAUCAAAAUGACAAAAAACAUCUUAUAAAAAAGACAAUUAAGAAUAUGAAAUAAUAUGUUUAUCACAAAAUCUCUCAUAUUAUAAAGUAAGAAUUAAUAAAGAAAGUGAAUUAAGCGUUUAUAAAAAAAUAUCUCAUAUUAUAAAGUAAGAAUUAAUAAAGAAAGUGAAUUAAGCAAAACUGAAACAGAUACAAAAUAUCUCAAAAAAUAACAAAUAAAGUUAACAAGGGAAGAUUGGUCGAUUUUCUUAUCGGAUUUCUUACCAGCCGAGCUGCUGACCGAAUCGGUCCUUGAUAUUCCCAACGAGCACGCUGGGACGGCACGUAUCCUCGGCUAUCUUUUCUACAAUUUCGCAUCCAUUAAUCUGAGCCAUUUGAGCCACAACGUUCAUUUGUGUGCGCUGAAGUGAAGCUUGGAUCAAACAGAUUCGUAUUAAGUGAAGAAGGAUGUACCGCCACGUGUUUGUCUCCAACUUGAGCGCUUCAAUGCUAAAGGCCAAGAAUAUGGAAUGCAAAAUCUUGAAAAACAUAGCCGAGGACCCUUGUCGUGCUCGUUGCAAAGAUUGAGGGGACAUCUUCGGUCAUAUUUGGGAACUCUGCAACUCGGUGGGUAAGAAAUUUGAUCCGUCCUCUCCUAUGUUGUUUAUUUUUAUUUUCUCUUUGUUUCUUUUUCCAUCAAUUCUUUCGUAUAUACACACUUUCUUUUUUGAUAUCUUUCGCUUUGGUUUAAUCUGCUUCUUAAUUCUUUUUUGAAUUAAUUUGUUAAUUUUAAAUUUAAUGGAUUUCUUCUGCUUUUGUUACUAAUUUUGAUAAAAAAAAAGACUAUGGAUUUCAAUUAGAGUUAACUCGUGAUUUGCCUCCUGAACUUGUACCUAGUUUUUAAUUCAACCCAUAUCCUUUUUUUUUUUAAUUUAGAAAAUUAAGGAUAUUAACUUCUAUUUUUCCGCCAAUUUUCCCCCUACCGUCUAAAUCCUCAACAUUCAUCCAAUUUGCCCUUUAAUAUGAGGGCAUAUUGGUCAUUUCAUAUGUUAAAAAAAUAUAGAAAAAAAAGAAAAAAGAAAAAAUAAUGAUAAAUUCAUCCUCUAUUCGACAGCCACCACCGUCUCUUUGAUCUCUUUCCCCCUUCUUCUCUUAGACAUCCACCAACAUCACCAUCCUCCACCCUCUAUCUCUUCUUCCCCCACGUGCCCACCCCUUCCCACUUUCUCUCUUUUUGUGCCUCUCUCUCCUCCCUUGCCAAGGUUGCAGAGAGGAAAAUAAAAAUUAAUAAUAAAUAUCUUGAGAUUUUUGGGGUGGCUGUUUGGGUUUCCUGGGGAGUAAGGUGAGGUUAAUAAUAACGAUCUUGAAAUUUUUUGGGUGGCUAUUUAAGGUUUUGAUCUUGAAUUUUUUUUUUUUUUGGUGGCUGUUUGGGUUUUCUGGGAGGUGAGGUUGUGGAUGUCGAAGAAAGAGGGAGACAGAAGGAGGAGGGGCCGGGUGAAGGGUGGGCGGUGCUUAUGUUUGUGAAGAGAGAGAAGGGGGAAGAGAGGAGAGAGAGGGAGACACACUUUGUAGAUAACAAAAGGAAGAAAAACAAAAAAGAAGAUCAAAACCCUAAAGCCUAAGGGAAUGGAGGCGACGAGAGAAAGAGAGAGGGAGGCGGGGGGAGGAGGUGCGUCGGGGGUGUGGCUGGUUGGCCUGGGGAGAAGCAUCGGGUAGAGGAGGAGGGGGAGAAAAAAACCAGAGGGGAUGGGGAAGAAAAAGAAAACUGAGGAGAGAAGGUUUUUUUGUGUUAUCUUUUUCUGUUUUUUUCCCAAUUUUUUAUUAUUAUUAAUGAUUUAACAGAAGAUUGAAUGAAAUGUUGAGGAUGUAGACGGCAAGGGGGAAAUUUGCGAAAAUAAGAAGUUCAUAUAUCCUUAAUUUUCUAAAAAAAGAAUUUGCGAAAAUAAGAAGUUCAUAUAUCCUUAAUUUUCUAAAAAAAGAAGGAUAAGGGGUAAAUCAAAAUUUAGAUACAAAUUCAAGGGGCAAAUUACCAAUUAACCCUUUCAAUUAUUAUUAAUUUAUUUUGAAAUGUUGGUUUUGAGUAGUUGGUGUAUUAGAUGGUGGUUUUAUGGAAAGUAUGAAUAUGUUGAUUGUGGGGCCGACGCGGUGGAACUCUGGCUACCACUUUGAGAGUUUUCCUGGAACGCCGAGGGUGGCUUUAUAGGAAGCUAAGCUCACGGCUGAAGAUGUUUUUAAUCACAUUCACCAGUACAAAUCGACAUUCUCAUUUUAACCCUAUUGUGCUUGGUCUGGAAGAUACGGUAAUUUUCCAUGCUAAAGUUCUAAUAUUAUUGACAAGCAAAUAGAUCAUUUAGUCUUAUUGAUCAUAUAAUUUCGGAGGCACAAGGGUGGGGCUCGGUGGUCCUUACAUUCCAUAUAAUGCGUGGAUAAAUUUAGACAAUGCCGGAGGUGAUUUCAUGUACGAGAAGCCACCUGAUUAUAGCACGGUUGGAUCAGGGAGGAGGAGGAGAAGAAAGAGGCAGUUAAGAAGAAGCAAAUUAAGGCACCUAAGAUGAAGAAGAAGUAACAUGCACUGAAGAAGAAUAAUGGAGGAAACUGAGACUUGUUUCUGGUUUCGAUAUUGGAAUUGGGUUUUAAUUCCAAUACCUUUCGAUUGUAAAUGCGUUUGAACGCAGUAAAAGUCAACAGUUUGAUUGCAUUGAAUUGGAGAUAUGCCCAAACCACAUGAAUGGCAA
Molecule: long non-coding RNA, 4113 nt
Organism: Prunus persica (peach)
Lineage: Eukaryota; Viridiplantae; Streptophyta; Magnoliopsida; Rosales; Rosaceae
Exons: 2
Source: RefSeq, a predicted model, not a curated record